AAUCUUCCGCAAUGGGCGAAAGCCUGACGUAGCAAUGCCGCGUGAGGGAAGAAGGCCUUCGGGUUGUAAAACUCUGUCCUUAGGGAAGAACGAUCUAUAUGUGAAUAAUGUAUAGACGUGACGGUACCUAUGGAGGAAGCCACGGCGAACUACGUGCCAGCAGCCGCGGUAAUACGUAGGGGGCGAGCGUUGUGCGGAAUCAAUGGGCGUAAAGCGAGCGUAGGCGGACUUUUAAGUCAGAUGUGAAAACUUUGGGCUCAACCUGGAGAUUGCAUCUGAAACUGGGAGUCUUGAGUGUAGAAGAGGAGAGUGGAAUUCCUAGUGUAGCGGUGAAAUGCGUAGAUAUUAGGAGGAACACCAGUGGCGAAGGCGACUCUCUGGUCUAUAACUGACGCUGAGGUGCGAAAGCGUGGGGAGCAAAC
RNAcentral lists this ribosomal RNA (422 nucleotides) under uncultured bacterium. Its description in RNAcentral is "partial 16S ribosomal RNA". It matches the Rfam family "Bacterial small subunit ribosomal RNA", at positions 360 to 773 of the family's 1533-position model. The record is from RNAcentral.